UUCUGUGUAGACAUUACUCUAAUCUGCCAAUUAUUAUCAUAAAACAAACCAAUCUACCAAUUUGAACUGUCAUGUCUAUGAAGAUAUGUAGACAUUUACGAAAGUCUACCGUAUGUUCAUAGACAAAAUAUAAGUCCACCGGUUUGGGAGUUGUUGUCUACCAUAAUAUGUAGCCACCCUACUCUCUCAUAGCCUAUAUAUAUGUCCUCCAUGUUGUCAUUUGAAGUCUACUAUAAACAUCUAGACUUUACAGCAACCUGUCAACUAUUAGUGG
Molecule: long non-coding RNA, 274 nt
Filed under: Brassica napus (rape)
Lineage: Eukaryota; Viridiplantae; Streptophyta; Magnoliopsida; Brassicales; Brassicaceae
Description: long non-coding RNA (BNAP_LNC024028)
Source: RNAcentral